AUGGACGAGCUUCUCUCCCCGUACGCCCCUUUCUUCCCGUCAUCGCCGCCAUCCCAGUUCUCCACCGCCGAGGGGCACCACCACCAUGUCUUCGAGCUCGCCUCCUGCGAGGUCCCCGAGCAAUGGCUAGUCGGCGACACCGUCGUGCCGGCCAAGAGCGAGCACGGAGAUUAUGUGUGGCCUGCGGGGAGCUCCUCGCUGUCCCCGGACUUGCCGGGGGACAGCCUGCAGCCAUCGACGACGAAGCGGCGUGGGCGGAAGCCCGGGCCGCGGCCUGAUGGGCCCGCCGUCAGCCACGUGGAGGCCGAGAGGCAGCGCCGCGACAAGCUGAAUCGCCGGUUCUGCGACCUGCGUGCCGCCGUGCCCAACGUGUCCCGCAUGGACAAGGCCUCCCUCCUCGCCGACGCCGUCGCCUACAUCACCGACCUGCGGUCCCGCGUCGCGCGACUGGAGGUAGAGGGCCGGCAGGCGGCCGCCGCGAGGUGCGAGGCGUGGAACGCGUCUGCUUCUUCGUCCUGGGGUGGCCACGCCGGGGCCUCCCUGCACCACGUGGCCGCCGACGAUGUGGUGGAGGUGCGGAUGGUGGGGAAGGACGCGGCGGCAGUGCGCAUGAUGAGCCCGGGACAAGCCCCGCACGCGCCAGCGCGGCUGAUGAGUGCGCUCCGGUCGCUAGAGCUGCAGGUACAGCACGCGUGCGUGAACCGCGUGGAGGGCGUGACGGUGCAGGACGUCGUCGUCGACGUGCCCGCUGCCCUACAGGACGACGACGGCGACGGCGCCCUCCGGUCCGCGCUGCUCCAGAGGCUACGUUACACCGCCUAG
Molecule: ribosomal RNA, 822 nt
Filed under: Triticum aestivum (bread wheat)
Lineage: Eukaryota; Viridiplantae; Streptophyta; Magnoliopsida; Poales; Poaceae
Description: partial small subunit ribosomal RNA
Source: RNAcentral